GAGGUUUUUAUCCUGAGUGGCAGGAUGAUUCGGUGACCUGAGAGACGCUACCGCACAGCUACAAGUCGAGGGGCUUCAGGAACGGGGCCGCGACCUCCGCGGUGUUGGAGAUGUUGCUGAUGGGCUGCGAUGAACCGGUGGCCGCAUCUACCCAAUCCGCCCAGAUCGAAAAGGUACUUCUGGCCCUUGAGUACUAGUUGGAAGCAUGCCUGCAUUGCUGAAUCGAUGUUCAAAAUGAAAUGCAAACUAAGUGAAUGCAAACUAAGUGAAUGCAAACUGAUGCAGCACAUGAUAUUGGCAUUUCAGAGAGAGCAUGUGAUAUGUCAAAGAGAAGGUAUCUUUGGAACAAAAUUGUAUACUCUUCAUGACAUAUGAAAAUGUCCAGGACAUAGACUAUCGUCUUUUAGAAUAUGAGGCAAAGAAAGGGAAGACUUCUGAGAAAAUACAUCCCAGGAAUUUCAGUUUGAUAUGGUGGUGUCAGAAAGAGACAGUAUCCUGAGGGAAUUUAGGUAAGGGAUGAACCAUAUUUUGAUUACUACUGACUUACUGGUAUUUCAGGUCCUAAUUUGAUUAUACUAUUUAUCUAUCAAAAGUUAGUUUUGAGGGCAAGAUUUUCUAAUGGUCUUUGUCAGCUCAGGAUAUAAUGGGGAAUAAAUACCACACUCUAUGGUGAGCUAUACUAUUUACUUCAUGACUUUAUUGCUAUUUUGUGACCUAGAAGAGUAUAAAGAAUAGUUGCUUUUUUAGUAAGAACAUAUACCAUCAUAUAUAUAUCUUGGGCUCAUGGUUUUUAUAUACAACUAGUCUCUAUCAUUAUAAAUUAUGAUCUGCCUACUACUUGUGAAAACUAUUUUUUUUUUUUUUUGGUUCAGUGUUUGUCAUCUUUAUUGAAUUACUUGUUUUUAUUCCAGUGAAUAAGUUCAUAUAUUGCUUUUCAAGUAUGAAUUUUGCCUUCCAGGCAACCUUGAAAUCAGAUAAAUAAAUAGGGAAAAUAAUCUCAUCACCUACUAACAUCAAGAUGCUUUUAAAUUGUACUUAAGAAAGUUCAUGGUUGAUCAGAACAUAGUGGUAAGACAAAUGUAAAAUGAAGCCCACAUUUUGAAUUUUGUACAGUUUCUAUUCAAAGGGGAAAAAAUCAAUAUGCUGUUAUCUCUAAUUGACUUAGCUUAUACAUGAGUGUUCUGUUUUUAGCUAUGUUGCUCAUAUCU
Molecule: long non-coding RNA, 1208 nt
Organism: Condylura cristata (star-nosed mole)
Lineage: Eukaryota; Metazoa; Chordata; Mammalia; Eulipotyphla; Talpidae
Exons: 4
Source: RefSeq, a predicted model, not a curated record